GGGGGAUAUUGCGCAAUGGGGGCAACCCUGACGCAGCAACGCCGCGUGAAGGAUGAAGGUUUUCGGAUUGUAAACUUCUUUUAUUAAGGACGAAACUUGACGGUACUUAAUGAAUAAGCUCCGGCUAACUACGUGCCAGCAGCCGCGGUAAUACGUAGGGAGCAAGCGUUGUCCGGAUUUACUGGAUGUAAAGGGUGCGUAGGCGGCUUUGCAAGUCAGAUGUGAAAUCUAUGGGCUCAACCCAUAAACUGCAUUUGAAACUGUAGAGCUUGAGUGAAGUAGAGGCAGGCGGAAUUCCCCGUGUAGCGGUGAAAUGCGUAGAGAUGGGGAGGAACACCAGUGGCGAAGGCGGCCUGCUGGGCUUUAACUGACGCUGAGGCACGAAAGCGUGGGUAGCAAACAGGAUUAGAUACCCUGGUAGUCCACGCUGUAAACGAUGAUUACUAGGUGUGGGGGGUCUGACCCCUUCCGUGCCGGAGUUAACACAAUAAGUAAUCCACCUGGGGAGUACGGCCGCAAGGUUGAAACUCAAAGGAAUUGACGGGGGCCCGCACAAGCAGUGGAGUAUGUGGUUUAAUUCGAAGCAACGCGAAGAACCUUACCAGGUCUUGACAUCCAACUAACGAAGUAGAGAUACAUUAGGUGCCCUUCGGGGAAAGUUGAGACAGGUGGUGCAUGGUUGUCGUCAGCUCGUGUCGUGAGAUGUUGGGUUAAGUCCCGCAACGAGCGCAACCCUUGCUAUUAGUUGCUACGCAAGAGCACUCUAAUAGGACUGCCGUUGACAAAACGGAGGAAGGUGGGGACGACGUCAAAUCAUCAUGCCCCUUAUGACCUGGGCUACACACGUACUACAAUGGAUGUUAACAGAGGGAAGCAAGACAGCGAUGUGGAGCAAACCCCUAAAAACAUUCUCAGUUCAGAUUGCAGGCUGCAACCCGCCUGCAUGAAGAUAGAAUUGCUAGUAAUCGCGGAUCAGCAUGCCGCGGUGAAUACGUUCCCG
Molecule: ribosomal RNA, 1000 nt
Filed under: uncultured organism
Description: bacterial SSU rRNA
Rfam family: Bacterial small subunit ribosomal RNA
Source: RNAcentral